UAAAGCGAAAAAAAAUGUCCUCUGC
Molecule: non-coding RNA, 25 nt
Filed under: Rattus norvegicus (Norway rat)
Lineage: Eukaryota; Metazoa; Chordata; Mammalia; Rodentia; Muridae
Source: RNAcentral